This 1094-nucleotide long non-coding RNA is filed under the name Cucumis sativus (cucumber). RNAcentral describes it as "long non-coding RNA (CSAT_LNC000040)". The record is from RNAcentral. Lineage: Eukaryota; Viridiplantae; Streptophyta; Magnoliopsida; Cucurbitales; Cucurbitaceae.
AAACAUUCAUGCAUAAAAACAAAACUUCAAACUCACAAACAUAAAAGCAAAUUUCAUAUAUCUCUUAAGACAUACUAUCAAAGGAGUUGGACCUACCAACCUCUUUUAAAUACAAUUAACCCAACAAACCAACUUAAUACUAAACUUUAUAUUAUAAAAACCCACGUGGUAACAUUGACAUUAAUCCUAAACCCUAAGUUCUAAACUAACCCGAGAGACAAAAGUGGCGGGUGUCAUUUCAAAUGCCUACCGCUGCCAGUAUUUUUCAUCUGCCAUUGCCUUAAAAACACACAUAGCAGAACUUCGAACUCAAAAACGAACCCAAAACCAAACCAAACCGAACUGAAACCCCACUUUCAAACUCACAAACUAAAAAUACUAAAAAGUAAAAAAAAAAAAAAGGAGAAAGAGGACACAUUAAAAACAGUGCCCACUCCAACACACAACACAGCUCCCUAGAAAAUGAAGAAGAAAAAGACUGUUCCGUUCUGUUCUGUUUUGCUGUUGCCUUUCUGUUCAUCGGAACUGCAACCCACUAAAAGUUUGACCAAAGCUCCACUGAGCUGGCGCUACGUCGUUGGAUAUCACUGUUCUGCCAUCGCCGGUGGUCACUUUGAACGAUAAGCUUUGUCCAUUCAGAUAUGAAUUGCUCUGCCAAUUCUGUCCCCAAUUCCUCGACAUUGCUUCCCACCCUGUUUUCGACCCUUUAAUCCACACUCCAUGAACAUCCCCACCUCCACCAACGUUGGUUACAAGGACUAAAUUGAAGUACGAAUGACCAUUGAUUGUGAAUCUAAUGCCUCCUUUCUUCUCACAAGAUACCCUGCAUUGGUUAUUUGCUCAGUCUCUGUUUCAGUUAUAGUGUUUUAACUUAACAAAAUCAGUCAGUACCUUCUGUAUGCCACUGGGACAAUGCCGGCUUUGUAACCAGCGAUUUGUUCGAAGACGGGUUGGGAGAGAUCGAAAUGGUGUUGGGGAGGGUUACACCAGCCGCCGGCGUUGUUUGGGAGCGCAUUGUUUGGUGGACAAAAGUUUGUGGCAGUAACCACAAUGGACUUUUGAAGACACCAUUUUGGGUCAUUUACACAUUUGAU